This 274-nucleotide ribosomal RNA is filed under the name uncultured bacterium. RNAcentral's name for it is "partial 16S ribosomal RNA". It matches the Rfam family "Bacterial small subunit ribosomal RNA", at positions 523 to 796 of the family's 1533-position model. The record is from RNAcentral.
AGACGGGGGGGGCGAGCGUUGUUCGGAAUUACUGGGCGUAAAGGGCGCGCAGGCGGCUUGGGAAGUCUUGGGUGAAAGCCCCCAGCUCAACUGGGGAAUGGCCUGAGAAACCACUAGGCUGGAGUGCUGGAGAGGGAAGCGGAAUUCCCGGUGGAGCGGUGAAAUGCGUAGAUAUCGGGAGGAACACCAGAGGCGAAGGCGGCUUCCUGGACAGACACUGACGCUGAGGCGCGAAAGCUAGGGUAGCGAACGGGAUUAGAAACCCCGGUAGUCC